RNAcentral lists this unclassified non-coding RNA (253 nucleotides) under uncultured Euzebyales bacterium. RNAcentral's name for it is "contains 16S-23S intergenic spacer region". It matches the Rfam family "Bacterial small subunit ribosomal RNA", at positions 524 to 776 of the family's 1533-position model. Lineage: Bacteria; Bacillati; Actinomycetota; Nitriliruptoria; Euzebyales. The record is from RNAcentral.
UACGUAGGGGGCGAGCGUUGUCCGGAAUUAUUGGGCGUAAAGAGCUCGUAGGCGGUCCAUUACGUCGGGUGUGAAAUCUCAGGGCUUAACUCUGAAAUCGCAUUUGAUACUGGUGGACUUGAGGCAGGUAGGGGAAGGUGGAAUUCCUGGUGUAGCGGUGAAAUGCGCAGAUAUCAGGAGGAACACCGGUGGCGAAGGCGGCCUUCUGGGCCUGUUCUGACGCUGAGGAGCGAAAGCGUGGGGAGCGAACAGG